This 245-nucleotide ribosomal RNA is filed under the name uncultured bacterium. RNAcentral describes it as "partial 16S ribosomal RNA". It matches the Rfam family "Bacterial small subunit ribosomal RNA", at positions 524 to 768 of the family's 1533-position model. The record is from RNAcentral.
UACGUAGGGGGCAAGCGUUGUCCGGAAUCACUGGGCGUAAAGCGUGCGUAGGCGGUUUGUUAAGUUCGGGGUGAAAGUCCAAGGCUCAACCUUGGGAAUGCCUUGAAAACUGGCAGACUUGAGUGCUGGAGAGGCAAGGGGAAUUCCACGUGUAGCGGUGAAAUGCGUAGAGAUGUGGAGGAAUACCAGUGGCGAAGGCGCCUUGCUGGACAGUGACUGACGCUGAGGCACGAAAGCGUGGGGAG